Molecule: ribosomal RNA, 489 nt
Filed under: uncultured bacterium
Lineage: Bacteria
Description: bacterial SSU rRNA
Rfam family: Bacterial small subunit ribosomal RNA
Source: RNAcentral
GAACGCUAGCUACAGGCUUAACACAUGCAAGUCGAGGGGCAGCAUGGUCUUAGCUUGCUAAGACUGAUGGCGACCGGCGCACGGGUGAGUAACGCGUAUCCAACCUGCCAUCACGUUGGGGAUAACCUUGUGAAAGUAAGACUAAUACCCAAUGACGUCUCUAGAAGACAUCUGAAAGAGAUUUAAAAGAUUUAUCGGUGAUGGAUGGGGAUGCGUCUGAUUAGCUUGUUGGCGGGGUAACGGCCCACCAAGGCGACGAUCAGUAGGGGUUCUGAGAGGAAGGUCCCCCACAUUGGAACUGAGACACGGUCCAAACUCCUACGGGAGGCAGCAGUGAGGAAUAUUGGUCAAUGGACGAGAGUCUGAACCAGCCAAGUAGCGUGCAGGAUGACGGCCCUAUGGGUUGUAAACUGCUUUUAUAAGGGAAUAAAGUGGGAGUCGUGACUCUUUUUGCAUGUACCUUAUGAAUAAGGACCGGCUAAUUCCGUG